GGGCCCAUAGCUCAGGGGCAGAGCGCUCGUAUCACACACGAGAAGUCGAUGGUUCGAAUCCAUCUGGGCCCA
Molecule: transfer RNA, 72 nt
Filed under: Candidatus Curtissbacteria bacterium RIFCSPHIGHO2_01_FULL_34_40
Lineage: Bacteria; Candidatus Curtissiibacteriota
Also listed under: 10 other names
Description: tRNA-Val
Rfam family: tRNA
About the family: Transfer RNA (tRNA) molecules are approximately 80 nucleotides in length. Their secondary structure includes four short double-helical elements and three loops (D, anti-codon, and T loops). Further hydrogen bonds mediate the characteristic L-shaped molecular structure. tRNAs have two regions of fundamental functional importance: the anti-codon, which is responsible for specific mRNA codon recognition, and the 3' end, to which the tRNAs corresponding amino acid is attached (by aminoacyl-tRNA synthetases). tRNAs cope with the degeneracy of the genetic code in two manners: having more than one tRNA (with a specific anti-codon) for a particular amino acid; and 'wobble' base-pairing, i.e. permitting non-standard base-pairing at the 3rd anti-codon position.
Source: RNAcentral